This is a non-coding RNA of Podarcis lilfordi (Lilford's wall lizard), 3151 nucleotides long. The record is from the annotation of a GenBank genome assembly. Lineage: Eukaryota; Metazoa; Chordata; Lepidosauria; Squamata; Lacertidae.
GUUAAUUUUCCUUUAAGUGACUUUAGAAAACAUUCACAUUCUCUUCCUCUGGGGUAGUAAGUAAUACCAUUUUUAUAUAUUUAUGCUGUCAUUGAUCACAUGAAAACCCUCUGCUACACCACAAAGAUUGCUAGUUACAAUCAGCUGCUUGGACUGACUUUUCCUUCAUUGCCCCUUUCUCUUCUUAAGGGGUCCAUUCUCAGUGAUGUCUCUGCUAGUCUCCUUUGAUGAAUAUGAUUUUUUUAAGCUGAUAUAUGGGCAGCAGCUAGAAAAUCGUUCCUCUGGGCAGUGCUGGCCCAAUACAUUUUGCUGCCUGAGGGUAAAGGGUAAGGUGAUCCAAUCAUCAUUUUCCACAUAUAUAGAAAAUGCUGCUGCUGUCACAGCCUUCACUGGGUGCCUUAGUCAUUGUAAUUGUCUUUAAAUUCCAUGCUGUCUGUGUUAAGCAAAAAAUGCAUUGUAUCUGGGAUCCCUGAUAGCCAAGACCUAUUUAAUGAAAAUAAGUUGUUUAGUUGUAAGUAAGCAGGAAUAUAAUUGCAGCCUGAGUGGACUUCACAGAAGGGCAGGGAUUAAAUGAUGACUUUCUCUUGAGCCAUUGUUCAGCACUAGAAAUUCCUGAAGUUUCUGCUAGUAUCUUUUCAUGAACAUGAUUUGUCGGCAGCAGCUAGAAAAUCAUUCCUAUGGGCUUUGCUGGCCCAAUACAUUUUGCUGCCUGAGGGUGAAUGACAGAGUGAUCCAGAGGGAUCAUUUUCUGCAUAUGCAUAUGCUGCCUGCGUAAAGCUCAACAUUGUGUUGUAUCUUAACAACUAUCCCAUAGGAUAGGAAAAGAGGUGAUUUACUUAGACGUAGAAAUCAUAACCCAAUUUACUUAGACGUAGGAAUCAUAACCCAGGCUGCCUCUCUGUUGUGAGAAUAAAAGAUUGUCAUCUACAUUGACAGCAUGAUUCCUAAAAACUACCAACAUGUCCUUGCGUUUGUUUUUGCCAUGAAUGAGGUCAACAAAAAUCCUGAAUUGUUACCCAACACCUCGCUGACAGCAAAGGUUCUUGAUAAUUAUUUCAGUGCCGUGAGAACUUCCGGGGCUACUCAGGACCUACUAUUCCUAGGAAAAGUGCACUACCCCAAUUAUAACUGUGUCAGGAGAAAGAAAGUGCUGGCUGUCAUUGGAUGUCUCACAUCCCAAAACUCCAUUCAGAUGUCCAACAUCUUAAAUACCUACAAGAUUCCACAGGUAUGUGUAUAAGUAGGCAGAUACAGCAAGGAGGAGGGAUAUAAAUAGCAACACAUCCUCUCAUGUAUGCUUCCUCCACCAGUCUGAAAGCAAGUUUUGCCAAGUCUAUUUUGAUCUGUGCUGGCUGCAUUGCUGUCUUAAUCUACAUGAAGCCAUUGGAAGCAGUCAUUAAGAGUGUUGGGUCAAAGCAUUAUAAAUAUGCAGACGAUAAGUAGCUCUGUUUCUCUAUAACAUCUGAGUCAGAAGAGGCAGAGUAUGGUCUGGAAGGUUGUCUGGAUGCAGUCAUGGAUUGGGUGAGAGUUAAGAAACUGAGUUUGAAUCCUGGGAAUGUGGACAGACUGUGGGUGGCUGUGCCUGAGAGGCUGGUCAUUUGCCUGCCUGGUUGGGGUUCCUCUCCUCCUGAAAAAACAGGGUUCUAGCCUGAUGGCAUUCCUGGAUCCAUCUGGAUCCAUCUUUAUGAGUGUCUUUUCCCAGCUGUGGCUGGUUUCUUAGCUACAGAUGUUCCUGGUCACCGGUAGCCUGACUGCAGAGACUCAUGUACUAGUAACCCCAAGAUUUGACUGUUGCAAUGAUUUCUGUGUGGUGUUAGCCUUUCAAAUUGUCUUGAUGCUCCUGCUGGAGUAAAAUAUUGUGGCUUAACAUUUGAUUGGGAAGAACUAUUGCCAGCAUGUAGGAGGAUGAUGAACAACAUAAAUCAGAUAGCAUGAUAAAUAGUUCACUCUAACCCAGAAGCUGGUGUUUAAGCAAUACUUACAAGAGAACAGCAAAUUCAUUUUAAUGUUUAUCGCAGACUACUAUCAUUGAAGGUGAUGCACAGUUUACGUUAACCAAAAAGUUUUGCAUUGUGAAGGGCACCCUCUAUUCUCAUUUUUCACCAUAUGCAUAAUCCACUGGCCAUUCAAUUCCAAAGGAGUCUUUGUGUUGCGGGACUUGUGCCAUUCUUUUAUUAUUAUUGAAUUUUCCCACAAGUACUAUUUGCCCCCUAAGAUCUUCCAGUAUCUCAUUAUUAAGAUCUUGGCUGCUGGAACUCUAAAAGUGUUCUCUCUUUCCCAUUAGCUCAGCUACAGCUCCUUUGAUCCAGUGCUGAGUGAGAAAACUCACUUCUCUUCUAUGUACCGUUUGGCCCCAAAUGAAGAGUCUCAGUAUGAUGGCAUUGUUCAGCUACUCAUGUAUUUUGGAUGGAACUGGAUUGGCCUCCUUGUUUCCAAUGAUGACAGUGGAGAAACUUUCCUUCGAUACUUGAGACCAAAGCUUUUGCAGAACAAUCUUUGCCCAGCUUGGACAGUAGUGAUCCCACCAGUGACGCAGCUAUUGCCAGAUGAGAUAAUCCAACAAAGAUUGAUACCAGUCCUGAAAACUCUUGUAUUGCCAGGAAUCAAUGUGAUUUUGGUCUAUGGAGACAAUCAGUCUCUGGAAGGUUUGCGGUUGAUUUUAUAUUCCAAUGAAAUCUUUUUAAUGAACCCUCUAGAAAGGGUGUGGAUCACUACAGCUCAGUGGGAUUUUAUGGCUGUUCAGACUGGGGAGAAAAUAAUUAAAAAAUCAUUCAACGGCUCACUGUCAUUCACCCUCCACACCAUGGAGGUGCCAGGAUUUCAGGACUUUCUUGAGACCAUCAAUCCUCUUCAGUCUACAUUUUAUUUUCUUAAGGAGUUCUGGUGCACUGCUUUGUUCUGUUCAUUCCCAAGAUAUAGCCUGUAUUAUCCAAACAGGGGGAACUGCACUGGGGAGGAGAGGCUGGAGAGUCUCCCCAGAGCUGUGUUUGAAAUGCGAAUGUCUGGCCAGAGCUACAGUAUCUACAAUGCUGUGUAUGCUGUAGCCCAUGCUCUUCAUGCCAUGUAUUCCUCAAGAGCCAAGCAUAAAGCAAGGGGAAUCCUUGAAGUCGGGGCCUGGCAGGUAGCUACAGCUUCUUCAAUUAAAUCAGAA